Long non-coding RNA from Cloeon dipterum, 1821 nucleotides. RefSeq lists it as uncharacterized. The transcript has 3 exons. The record is from RefSeq and is a predicted model, not a curated record. NCBI's taxonomy places the organism in Eukaryota, Metazoa, Arthropoda, Insecta, Ephemeroptera, Baetidae.
AAGAUUUUAUUCUGUUCGUGUUUCUCAUAUUUGACGGGUGAAAGCAAACCAACAAAAAUGUUCAUAAUUUUUAUGGAUGAAAUUUCACUCUGUAAAUAGAGCCAAAAUUAAUUAUUUUUUCCAAAACAAGAAAUAUUACCGAAAUAAUUAUGGAAAAUUAAUGGAAACGAAACCCGGUAAGUGGCGAGUCGCCGCCGGCGCGCCUUCCAGCCCGUUGAGCUGUUUGAGCAUUUUGAAUCACUUUUAACUAAUCACCAUUUGCUAGCUCUGACUUUGGGCCGCCAGUAUUAGAACCCCGAACAGCUCAAAUAUCUCCCAUGCCUUAACACUCUUGAGAAUACCUUAACAAAUACGAGCCAACGGUCUGGUCAACUAAAACAUUUUGUGUCUGAAGAAUUUGACAUCAAAUCGCGCAGUAAAAUUGCACCGUGUGGAAGGUUUCUUUGUGGUAUCACGAGGAAAAACCUUUCCCGUUGAUAAGUUAACAAUGCAUCCCUCGCUUAUUUUCAGACGGGUGUUCCUAUCAGAAACAGAACAAGGAAAUGAUGAAGAAAAGAUUUGUAAUGUUAAAGUUUUUGCAAAACAUUUGAAUCCUCAGGUUAAAAUGGUCCGCGUAAAAAGACAGCUUUUCUUACGUUGUGCCUUUGCGUGUGUUGCAGUGCUUGUUUUAAAUUUCUUUGAUAUUUUUACUAGCACAAACAAUUUGGAGCCAACAACGGAGCUUGCAAAUCAGGAUUCUGCAGACUGUCCCACACAGCCAAUUGUCACUGUCUUCCAUGGCGGUCGACUGGCCAACCAUAUUUUUCAAUAUGCGACUGCGUAUAUAGUGGCUAAAUAUCUCAAACGGCCUGCGUACCUACCCCAGGCAACCAUGGAAACCCUCUGGUCUCUUUUCGGCCACCUCACGUUCAAUACUACCCUCGAAGAAAUCAUGCUGAAAUGCCCAAUCACCUUGGAAUUGAAAUCAACGCCUAUUGAAGACACACGUACCCUUGAUCAACCCUUCACAGAAGUCGAAAAUUUCAAAUCUGUAGACGUGGUUUUGCCCAAAAACUUGUUCUACUUGUGUUUGGUUUACAAACAUAUCGACGAGUUCAGAAGAGAGUUUCGUUUCCGACCGGAUAUCUUGGAUAGGGUCUAUCAUACGAUUGAGACUGCUGGAGGGACAAAUAAAACUCUAGUUGGUAUCCAUGUAAGAAGAUCUGACUACGGUCCAUACCUCAUCAGGGUCUUGAACGAGGGUCUCGUCAAUGCAUCCUAUUUUAAGAAUGCAAUGAAGUAUUACAGAGACAACUAUCGCGAGCCUCUGCUCUUUUUAAUAGUAAGCGACGAUAUCAAAUGGUGCGAAGAAAAUCUCCUUGUAGAAGAUGAUGUGAAAAUAGUCUCUGCAGACGUUGCGCAUGACAUCGCCCUAUUGAGUGUUUGCGACCACACUAUUAUCGACUACGGCACCUACGGAGUUAUUGGAGCUUACCUUUCAUUUGGGCACAAGGUCAUGGUUAACUUAAAGCAGAGACGUUAUUACGAGAUACUAAAAAAUGACGCUAAGUGGACAUUUUAUGACAAAGAAACGCUUGUUCCAAUUUGAUAAAACUCAUAGCAUUGUAUUAUUUAUUUGUUUAUUUAAAUGAUUCAAACACACUUUUUCCAAUCGAUGCAUUUCUAUGUUUCAAUAAUUCGUCGGGCUUUUUUCCUUUGUAAUUUUUUUCAUAAAACUAUUUGUAGGUGAUGACAUCACAAAAUAGUAUAUUUUUUCAUGAGUAGCAAAAUUUACUUUGUUUGCUACAUUCCCAAAAGCCAGAUCGAUAUUGAAAAUUUGAU